GAGAAGGCUCAGUCUCUCCCUUCAAAGAGAAAUGAAUGCAGACAAUUUCAAAUUUGAAGCUGAUGAGACUUUAACCUGCCAAAAAAUCAGAGUCUUGGACUCAGAAGGUCUUUCAACAGAGUCAUGAAAUCAGUCAUUCUUCAUGUGUGUGUAGUGUGAGCUCUCCUUAAGUGCCACAAAACACAUCCUUGCCCAUAUUGGUCCCCAAGAACCCCAGCGUGGAUGACAGUGCAUCACACAGAUGAAACUGUCUGUUUCUGGAUGCUGGCAGUCAUUCAGAAACAUUUGCUGAGCACCUCGUACCUGCUGAAUGAACCCACGUGAAGGGGAGCCAGGAGUGCGGAUCAUUAAAAAGCCUGUACUUUCUCAGUCCCCAUUUGACACCACAGAGAGAAAAUGCAUGCUCCUGAUUUGGGUAGAUCUAGAAUGUUCUUAUGAAUAUGGUAGGUGGAGCAAGGGAUCCAGGUUCUUAUGAUACAUGAUAAGAAAGGCCCUAGCUUGGUCAGACACAAAUAAAAGCCAAGCUUUUCAUCUAAACUCCCUUGCACCAUCACCCCCUUACCAACCAGUACAGAGAGCUUAACAUCUCUAUACCAGAUAGUGAAUGUUUCUAAUAAGAAUGGCAAAUUCUUAUUGUGAGAGAGAUAAGGGCAUUCAAGUGUUAAUUCAAGAGAAAUAUGUAUAUGGUUCUUUAAAUGAUUUAUUUACUAACAGCAUUAAGUAUGGUGUAAAGGAAUUUACAUACCCUAAUUCUCGUCUAUAUAUUUUUUUGGAUUUUAAAAUGACAACUUGUCUAAGUUCGCAUUAGUAUUAAGCCCUAACAUGAGACAGUAUUUAUAGCAUAAGAUUUUUGCCACCUAUUUUUAAUUGUAGCGCUGUUUUAUCAAUAAGAUCAAUUAAAGAGUUGAACAUUUGAAAAGAAGAAACAUGAAAAUGAAUUUCUAACUGUACGGUAUUGAAUACAUGAAAGUUCUCUUAAACUUAGUCCAGAGUCUCAAUAAACAUGGUAAGUAUGUAAUAAUUCACAUUUACAACCGCCAUAAAAACUCUAUCAACCAAAUUAUUUUAUGACGUCAAAAUUAUCUGAAAAAAAUUGAGGAACUAAAAUUUUUAAAAAUAGGUUCUCAGUUAGAGCUGUCUAUUAAAAGGAUAAAUUUUAAACUCUCCGGAGCUGGCCUUCCUGGUUCCAGGAGCAGCCUGUUGGCCUUCUCUCGCAAAGCUCAGUUCCUUUCCUCCAUUCCAGAAGACCCUCAAGCCUGUCCCAUGCACCUGGUUUUACAUUUUUAAAUGUUAAAAGGAAGACCACCGUGAAAGAUUGGCAUGUUAAUAGUAGGCUAAGGCGACAGGUGCUGGGGCUCCGGCUUAGAGAUCCCCACAGAUUCCAUGCUCCCAGGGCUGGCUGCAGCCAUCUGCCCCCACCCACCCCCACCCGGCCCAGCCCUCCCCUCCUGGAGGUGGAAUCGUGGCUUGCACAAUCCCCUCUGGGCCCCUGGGGGAGGCGCACCAUAUUGAUUUUUUGGACUUCGUUUCUGUGUGUCUCACCAGUCUUUGCCCGGCACAGUGACUCACUGGCGUCCCUUUCAGGACUUUCUCCCGCCUGAUAACAUCUAAAUGACUCAUGCCUACACCACCUGGAGAGCUCAGGGAAGGCACGGUUUGUUCAGGCCACCCUCACUCCAAGGGCCAGCCCUUUUUUGGAAUAGAAACUAAAAGUUGGUAGCUUCCAUUUGUAGUUCCAUCUAACAGAAGAGCCGACCCACUCACAUUAGCUGGCUCACGACUAAGGCAACCAAUGCCUCCCAGAACAUAGACUCAACUGGCAACCCCGGCACUGAAGGUCAAGGUGAGUCAAAGACACUCAUGCAGAAGGGUGGAUGCUCUUCCAAGUGUGACUGGCUGGCCUGCACGGCUCACUGCCUCCCCUCCUCCCGUCAAGAUGCAGCUUCAGUUUAAACCACCUUCGUUCCAUUCAUCAAAGAGGAAUAUUUACUGUUAUUGUAAUGACUCUUCUCACAGUACACAAGGCUACACCUGAAACACACAGGCCUUUCAGAAAGCACAAAGGAGCAUUGUGCAAGCCCCUGCCCAGUGAGAUGGAUGGGGGCGUAGACACGCCAGUUAACAGCCGGGCUUUGCAGGCCAGCAAGACUUAUCUGUGGCCGCACCAUGGCCACUGAGCUUGUACCUUUCUUCUUUUAAAAAUUGCUCCUUCAUUAUAAGCAGAGUUAAAUACCUGCACAUGUGAUUUGUGUUGAAAUAAUAAAGCAACAAACACACAUCAAGCUGAGGAGAGAAUCUUGGCUAAGGUAGGAAGUCGUGGGUCUGGUCUCAGUCUGUGCUGCUGACCAACUGUAAGAACUCAGAACUCACUGUCCACUCAGGACCACAGUGUCUCAUCUGAAAGGACGAGGAGACUGGAACACACCAGAGCCAUGGUUCUCAAUGUGUGGUCCAGAGGCCCUCGGGGGUCCCUGAGCCUCUUUCUGGGGAUCUGUGAGGUCAAAACUACUUUCACAAGUAUGGUUUGCCUUUUUCACUCUCACUCUCUCAUGCUUGAACAAUGGAAUCUUCUAAAGGCUUCCUGACACGUGAUGCUACAAUGGAUGGAAUCCAGAGGUGGAUAGGAGAAGCCAGCUGCCUUCUAUUAAACCAGAAAUGAAGAACAUUUGCAGAAAUGUACAACAAUGCCAUGCUUCCCAUUAAUUAUUUUGUUCUUGCUUUAGAAUAUGUCACUUUUCAUUGAAAAAUGUUACUCAUGAUUUUAUGUAAAAGGUUUAUUGUUGUUACUUUUAAAUACAUAUUUUAAGUGUUUUUUAGUUUUGAUUUCUAAUAUGGCAAAAAUUGGUAAAAUCACAUACACAAGGGCUUUUGGGGAUCCUCAAAACUUUUUAAGAGUGUAAAGGGAUCCAGAGACCAAAAGUUUGAUAACCACUAACCAAAAACUUUGACAACCAUCAUCUUGAAGGGUCCUUGGACUUUCUGGAAUUUGGAUCUCCCUUGCCUUGUUCAGUUUUCUCUCUUUUUAGCCAUCUCGUACUUACUGCCAUUUCAGUUCCUAUGUACCUGACUUAUUAAUUAUGCUUAUUGUUUACCAUGUGUGUUCCCCUCCCAUAUAAACUCCAUGAGGACUGAGAUAUUUGUCCAUGAUGUUCAUCAGUGCAUCCCAGGCUGCCUAGAACUGGGCCUGGCCCUUAGCAGGCACUUGUUUUUGGAUGGGAGGGAGGAGAAGGGAGGGGAGAGGGCAAGUUCUUUCAGUGUCUGUAUAAUGGACAGAGCAAGGUGUACCACCUCGGUGUGAUAGAAGAGAUGGAGACAGGAGAAAGGAAGCUCUGCACAGGAUCACGUGGUAGGUGGCAAAGUCAGGGCUCCAUCACAGCUUCUGUUGUCACAUGACUCUGUUAUCUGACCCUUUAAGGCAGCCCCUUCUGCUCCAACAGAGCUUCAGGGUAACUGAGUGCCCCGCAAUUGGUGUUAGC
This 3476-nucleotide long non-coding RNA is filed under the name Homo sapiens (human). RNAcentral's name for it is "HSALNT0273570". The record is from RNAcentral. Lineage: Eukaryota; Metazoa; Chordata; Mammalia; Primates; Hominidae.